This is a non-coding RNA of Bos taurus (domestic cattle), 72 nucleotides long. NCBI's taxonomy places the organism in Eukaryota, Metazoa, Chordata, Mammalia, Artiodactyla, Bovidae. The record is from Rfam.
CCAGGUGUAAGCUCAGACAGUAAAGCAUCUGCCUACAAUGCAGGAGACCUGGGUUCAAUCCCUGGAUCAGGA